CGGGCUGUAGCGCAGAUGGUAGCGUGCAUGAAUGGGGUUCAUGAGGUCGCUGGUUCGAAUCCAGUCAGCCCGA
Molecule: transfer RNA, 73 nt
Filed under: Spirochaetota bacterium
Lineage: Bacteria; Pseudomonadati; Spirochaetota
Description: tRNA-Pro
Rfam family: tRNA
About the family: Transfer RNA (tRNA) molecules are approximately 80 nucleotides in length. Their secondary structure includes four short double-helical elements and three loops (D, anti-codon, and T loops). Further hydrogen bonds mediate the characteristic L-shaped molecular structure. tRNAs have two regions of fundamental functional importance: the anti-codon, which is responsible for specific mRNA codon recognition, and the 3' end, to which the tRNAs corresponding amino acid is attached (by aminoacyl-tRNA synthetases). tRNAs cope with the degeneracy of the genetic code in two manners: having more than one tRNA (with a specific anti-codon) for a particular amino acid; and 'wobble' base-pairing, i.e. permitting non-standard base-pairing at the 3rd anti-codon position.
Source: RNAcentral